AACGAACGCUGGCGGCAUGCCUAACACAUGCAAGUCGAACGAGACCUUCGGGUCUAGUGGCGCACGGGUGCGUAACGCGUGGAAAUCUGCCCUUCGGUUGGGAAUAACUGAGAGAAAUUUCAGCUAAUACCUUAUAAUGUCUUCGGACCAAAGAUUUAUCGCCGAGGGAUGAGCCCGCGUAGGAUUAGGUAGUUGGUGGGGUAAUGGCCUACCAAGCCGACGAUCCUUAGCUGGUCUGAGAGGAUGAUCAGCCACACUGGGACUGAGACACGGCCCAGACUCCUACGGGAGGCAGCAGUGGGGAAUAUUGGACAAUGGGCGAAAGCCUGAUCCAGCAAUGCCGCGUGAGUGAUGAAGGCCUUAGGGUUGUAAAGCUCUUUUACCCGGGAUGAUAAUGACAGUACCGGGAGAAUAAGCUCCGGCUAACUCCGUG
RNAcentral lists this ribosomal RNA (433 nucleotides) under uncultured bacterium. RNAcentral's name for it is "partial 16S ribosomal RNA". It matches the Rfam family "Bacterial small subunit ribosomal RNA", at positions 29 to 507 of the family's 1533-position model. The record is from RNAcentral.